ACGGGAGGCAGCAGUGAGGAAUAUUGGUCAAUGGACGGAAGCCUGAACCAGCCAAGUCGCGUGAAGGAUGAAGGUAUUAUGUAUUGUAAACUUCUUUAGCAGCAGAGUAAUAAGGUCCUCGUGAGGGCUGAUGCAAGUAUGCUGAAAAUAAGGAUCGGCUAACUCCGUGCCAGCAGCCGCGGUAAUACGGAGGAUCCGAGCGUUAUCCGGAUUUAUUGGGUUUAAAGGGUGCGCAGGCGGCUUUUUAAGUCAGCGGUAAAAUCGCGGGGCUCAACCCCAUCCUGCCGUUGAUACUGGAGAGCUUGAUUGCGGUUGAGGUUGGCGGAAUUCGUCGUGUAGCGGUGAAAUGCAUAGAUAUGACGAAGAACACCGAUUGCGUAGGCAGCUGACCAAGCCGUAAAUGACGCUCAUGCACGAAAGUGCGGGGAUCGAACAGGAUUAGAUACCCUGGUA
Molecule: ribosomal RNA, 453 nt
Filed under: uncultured Porphyromonadaceae bacterium
Lineage: Bacteria; Pseudomonadati; Bacteroidota; Bacteroidia; Bacteroidales; Porphyromonadaceae
Description: partial 16S ribosomal RNA
Rfam family: Bacterial small subunit ribosomal RNA
Source: RNAcentral